RNAcentral lists this long non-coding RNA (251 nucleotides) under Elaeis guineensis (African oil palm). RNAcentral's name for it is "long non-coding RNA (EGUI_LNC001827)". Lineage: Eukaryota; Viridiplantae; Streptophyta; Magnoliopsida; Arecales; Arecaceae. The record is from RNAcentral.
CUCUUUUGCUCUAAUAUUGAAUGUGUGGAAGGUUUGGACUUGAAUAUUCUCUUAAAUGAACUUUCUUUUUAACUCUUUAUGUUCCCCCACUUGAAAUCAUUUCUAAAAUAUCAUAAAAAAUGGCUGGAAGAGGUAAUUUGACUAUUGGAGUAGCCAAAUUAGCCGUUGACCAUAUUUUCUAUCCAUUGAAGAAGUAUUGAAAAACUAGCCGUUAGGUUGUCAGAUGCAAAGAAUCGACUCCUCUUCUCCAG